UAUUUCAUUGGCUGAAAAGCACUUUGAGGUGUCCGGUGGUCAUGAAAAGUGCCACAAAAAUGCCAGUCUCAUUUUCUUUUUUAAUGCUGCCUAACACCUGCUCUCAAUUAUCAGCACCUCAGCCACAUUGGGCACAUCAUCUACCCAUGUUACAACACCAGACAUGCUGCUUGACCUGCUGAGUAUUUCCAGCAUUUUCUGUUUUUAUUUCGGGUUUCCAGCAUCUGCAGUAUUUUGCUUAUACAUCAAGAUACAUCAUCUGAACCUCAAGGAGUCUCAUCAAAGGAUGGCAAGACACUUAAACAGCAAGAUAAGGUCAUCACCCAAACCUUGAGGUCAUGAUUGCAGUAUUGAAGAUUAUUGAAGCUGCCUGCAGAAAUUCAUCACCAUCCUCUGCCUGCUGCAUGAUGACAUGCAAGCUGUGAUCCUUACCAAUGGAUCUGCCAUAGAGUGCAAACUGGGGUCAAACAAGGCUGUGUCAAUGCGCCAACAUUCUUUUCUCUGUUCCUCAAUGCAAUAAUCCGUCCCAUCUCCAUGAAGCUCCCCGCCAGAGUGGAGCUACCCUACAGGAUGAGUGGGAAACUACUCAACUUACGAUGCCUCAAAUCCAGAAUCAAGAUCACCCCAACCUCUCUCAUCGAACUAUACUACGUUGAUGAUGUGUGCGUAUGCACACACUCAGAGGUUGAGCUCCAAACUAUCAUCAUGCAUUCAUGGAGGCGUAUGAAAGAAUGGGCUUUAGGUUAAACAACCAGAAGACAAAGGUCUUCUACCAGCCUGCUUCCGCUGCGCCACACAACUCCCCCACCAAACUAUCGAGAUCCAUGGCAAACCAUUGGCAAUGUUGAUCAUUUCUCAUACCUUAGGAGCCUCUUCUCUGCGAGGGCAGACAUCGACAAUGAAACUCAACACUGCCUCUAGUGUGCCAGCGCAGCCUUUGGCUGUCUGAGGAAAAGGGUAUUUGAUGGCAAAGACCUCAAACCCAGCACCCUGCUCAUGGUCUAACAGGUCUGAAGUGCUACCUGCCCUCCUGUAUGUGUCAGAGAUAAUGAUAACAUAAAGCAGACACCUUAAAUCCCUGCAGAAAUAUUGCCAGCGGUGCCUGUGCAAAAUCCUGCAAAUUCAAUGGCAGGAUAAGUGCUCCAAUAUCAGUGUCCUUUCUCAGACCAACAUCCCCAGCUUCGAGGCACUAGUUAAUGAUUAAUCAGCUAUGUUGGAUGGGCCACAUCAUCUGCUUGUCUGACACAAGACUCCCAAAACAAGUUCUCUACUCCGAGCUUCAUCACAGCAAAUGGUUACCAGAAAGGCAGAGGAAACUUUUCAGGAACAGCCUCAAAGCAUCCUCGAAAAAAUGCAACAUCCCCACUGAUUUGUGGGGAUCUCUUGCUUGAGACCGCCCAAACUGGAGAAGAAGCAACCGCAAAGGUGCCAACCAUUUCAAACGUCCCCAAAAGGCUCAUGUGGAGACCAAGCGCAAACAGUGGGAGAAGCAUACCAAAAUCCAAGCAUCCCACCUGCCUGCCUCAUCAAACACUACCUGUCCCACCGGUGUGCAGAUCCAGCACUGGACCUUUUAGUCACCUCAGGAUCCACAACCCCAAAGUGGAAGAAACUCAUCCACAGUCUGGAGAAACUGCCUAAGAAGAAGUGUUAGAAAUCUUUUGAAAAACCAAGAACUGAAUGGCUGGAUAAAAUUUGUGUGGAGGACAUCAACUGUGCCAUAAUAAUAUAUUCAGUGUUGAACACAAAUGAUUAAAUUACUUGCUAAUUCUCAGGUGAUGUAAAGUUCCAACCAGUUAAUGGAUUAUAUUUGAUUAAAUGGCACAACCUUGUAUCAGACAAAUUUAGGAACCACAGGAUCCCACUAAUCAAUUCUAGGGUGAGAAAACAUGCAACAGCCUUGGCUGACACACGCAAUAUGACAUUGACAAUAAAUUACUAGGGGUUGUUUACUACGUACAACUUAUGAAAUAGCGAC
Carcharodon carcharias (great white shark) is the source of this 1978-nucleotide long non-coding RNA. RefSeq lists it as uncharacterized. The transcript is spliced from 3 exons. The record is from RefSeq and is a predicted model, not a curated record. NCBI's taxonomy places the organism in Eukaryota, Metazoa, Chordata, Chondrichthyes, Lamniformes, Lamnidae.